This 402-nucleotide small RNA is filed under the name Methylobacillus sp. MM3. Its description in RNAcentral is "Methylobacillus sp. MM2 cspA thermoregulator". It matches the Rfam family "cspA thermoregulator". The record is from Rfam by way of RNAcentral. Lineage: Bacteria; Pseudomonadati; Pseudomonadota; Betaproteobacteria; Nitrosomonadales; Methylophilaceae.
UUUUUCUGAAAUUGCGAGUAUCCUGUGCGGGUCUGUUAGGAUUCAAGUUGCGUCAAUGCGGUACCUCGUCGUUCAUCAUUUUCCCUUGAUUUCAAUAGAUGCCGGACAUUUCGUCCGAAAUUAAUUUUUAUUUUAGGAAAACAAAAUGGCAACAGGUAUUGUUAAGUGGUUCAACGACGCUAAGGGUUUCGGUUUCAUUACUCCGGACGCUGGCGGUGAAGAUCUUUUCGCUCACUUCUCGGCUAUCAAGUCCGACGGUUUCAAGUCCCUGCGCGAAAAUCAGCGCGUGACUUAUGACGAAGCUAUGGGCCCCAAAGGCAAGCAAGCUGCGAACAUCAUUCCCGAGUAAUUCUCAGGAAUAAUAAAGCAAGUAAAAAGCCCCGGCAUGCCGGGGCUUUUUUU